RNAcentral lists this ribosomal RNA (501 nucleotides) under uncultured bacterium. Its description in RNAcentral is "partial 16S ribosomal RNA". It matches the Rfam family "Bacterial small subunit ribosomal RNA", at positions 30 to 523 of the family's 1533-position model. The record is from RNAcentral.
AUUGAACGCUGGCGGCAGGCUUAACACAUGCAAGUCGAGCGGAUGACGGGAGCUUGCUCCUUGAUUCAGCGGCGGACGGGUGAGUAAUGCCUAGGAAUCUGCCUGGUAGUGGGGGACAACGUUUCGAAAGGAACGCUAAUACCGCAUACGUCCUACGGGAGAAAGCAGGGGACCUGCGGGCCUUGCGCUAUCAGAUGAGCCUAGGUCGGAUUAGCUAGUAGGUGAGGUAAUGGCUCACCUAGGCGACGAUCCGUAACUGGUCUGAGAGGUAUGAUCAGUCACACUGGAACUGAGACACGGUCCAGACUCCUACGGGAGGCAGCAGUGGGGAAUAUUGGACAAUGGGCGAAAGCCUGAUCCAGCCAUGCCGCGUGUGUGAAGAAGGUCUUCGGAUUGUAAAGCACUUUAAGUUGGGAGGAAGGGCAGUAAGUUAAUACCUUGCUGUUUUGACGUUACCGACAGAAUAAGCACCGGCUAACUCUGUGCCAGCAGCCGCCGUAA